GGCGGGGCCAGGCGUGGGAACGCGGCGACGCUCUCGCGGCGCUUUGCGAGCCUAUAAAAAGCGCGGGCGCAUGUGCGGCGCAGUGCUGGGCCGGAGGCGGCGCCGAGCCGGUUCGUCUAUCCGUCUGUCAGUCCGUCCGUCCGUCCGUCCGUCCGGGCCGGGGCAGCGCCGUGCCGUGCCUGGUGGUAUCCCCCUACCCCUCAGCGUCUUCUCCUCCGCCAGCUGCCGUUGCCUGGGUUCCUGUAUGUGCGACCGCGUCUCCAGCCCUAUGAGGUAAUCCCAGAAGAUCUUUCUUUGCCAAACCCAGGGGCUGAUGCAUCCCCUUCCCUGCUCCGGUGCCGGACUCCUGCAUUCCAGGUAAGAUUCCUCCAACUUCCCCCACUGCUCACUGUCCAUGCUCAUUGUUCCUCACACUUGGGUUGUUGGUUGUCACUGAGUGGUGACUCUUGGGUACUGUGGUUUCCGUGGGUGUGCUGGGGUUUUGUGGGCAUUUCCUGCAGUCCUGUGCUGUUUUUGGAGUAGGGGAAAGGCUUCAGCAUGACGUGGGGUGUUUCAUUUCGGAAGGGAUGAUGCCAGCAGUGGAAAACAGCAGCUGUUUGCCACAUUGCUGUUCCUGGGUGUCUGCAGGGAGUGUCUGGGCUCCCUAAACCGUGCUGGCAGCACAGCGCACAGCUCAGGAUGCUGUGAGCUGACAGGGAACAGACAGGAAUGCCAGGGCAGGCAGCACCAAGGAUGCACAGCUCUGGGCAUCACCCACACUUCCUUUGGUUUGCCAGCAGCCAGUCCAUCCCUGGUGAUCCCAGCUGAUUUCCCCUUCUCCUCUCCACAGGAUCCUGUUCCCACUGAUGGGAAUGAGGGUUUCUCCUCCCCAUUCUCUCUUAGCCUCGCUUGCUGCAGGUGUGUAUCUCCAGUGGAGAGAGCCAGUAACAGGUAAAUGUUCCUUCCCAGCACAUUCUGGGGAGGCAGAUGUGCUGGGGGUGAUUUUGGGGCUGUAAGAGCACCCCAGAGGUGCAGAUGCCUGGAACAGACCAGGCUAAGACCUGCCAUGAAUUAGUUCUUGCUCUCAGUUUUUUAUUCCUCUUUUCUGCUCUCAGGAGAGGUGUCCUGCUGGCAGUCAGUGGCUGAGCAGCGUGCUGCCCACUAUGGCUGGUGAGUCUGGGAACAAAGCUGGCUCUGUCCCCUCCCUCACAGCAUCCCUUCCCCAGCAGAACACCAGGGUGCCCAUGGGCUGCUCCUCACGAUGCCAACGCAUUCAGGUGUUGGUGGCAGCUCAGUUUCAGGGACCAGGAUGGUUUUGGGGUCAAGGUGAGAUCUUACCCACCCCUUUCCAUCUGGGGGCAUCCUACAGAUUGAAUGAUGCUGUGCUUG
RNAcentral lists this long non-coding RNA (1368 nucleotides) under Camarhynchus parvulus. RNAcentral describes it as "lncRNA (ENSCPVG00000017857.1)". The record is from RNAcentral. Lineage: Eukaryota; Metazoa; Chordata; Aves; Passeriformes; Thraupidae.